RNAcentral lists this long non-coding RNA (209 nucleotides) under Malus domestica (apple). Its description in RNAcentral is "long non-coding RNA (MDOM_LNC001901)". Lineage: Eukaryota; Viridiplantae; Streptophyta; Magnoliopsida; Rosales; Rosaceae. The record is from RNAcentral.
AAAGAGGAUCUGCUGCGUUCGUGCCCACACUGUGUCUUCCCUUCCUCAAGCUGCAAGGGCAGCGUUCUUCCCUUCUUCACACCUGGCGCUGAAUCCCAUUCGCUGACCUGCCCUCACUUCCUCUCAAGCUGCCCAAUGGCAGCACUCUCCUGCGUUUCUUGUCACGCUGCAUACUGGCAGCUCUCCUCUCUCUAGCUCUCGCUGACUCC